RNAcentral lists this ribosomal RNA (408 nucleotides) under Pseudoxanthomonas sp. VITPRS22. RNAcentral describes it as "bacterial SSU rRNA". It matches the Rfam family "Bacterial small subunit ribosomal RNA", at positions 9 to 416 of the family's 1533-position model. The record is from RNAcentral. Lineage: Bacteria; Pseudomonadati; Pseudomonadota; Gammaproteobacteria; Lysobacterales; Lysobacteraceae.
CGAGUUUGAUCUUGGCUCAGAGUGAACGCUGGCGGUAGGCCUAACACAUGCAAGUCGAACGGCAGCACAGGAGAGCUUGCUCUCUGGGUGGCGAGUGGCGGACGGGUGAGGAAUACAUCGGAAUCUACCUUUUCGUGGGGGAUAACGUAGGGAAACUUACGCUAAUACCGCAUACGACCUACGGGUGAAAGUGGGGGACCGCAAGGCCUCACGCGAUUAGAUGAGCCGAUGUCCGAUUAGCUAGUUGGCGGGGUAAUGGCCCACCAAGGCGACGAUCGGUAGCUGGUCUGAGAGGAUGAUCAGCCACACUGGAACUGAGACACGGUCCAGACUCCUACGGGAGGCAGCAGUGGGGAAUAUUGGACAAUGGAAGCCUGAUCCAGCCAUACCGCGUGGGUGAAGAAGGCC